This 484-nucleotide ribosomal RNA is filed under the name uncultured bacterium. RNAcentral's name for it is "partial 16S ribosomal RNA". It matches the Rfam family "Bacterial small subunit ribosomal RNA", at positions 31 to 507 of the family's 1533-position model. The record is from RNAcentral.
AGGGAAAGAUGGAGGCAGGCCUAACACAUGCAAGUCGAGCGGAUGAAGGGAGCUUGCUCCUGGAUUCAGCGGCGGACGGGUGAGUAAUGCCUAGGAAUCUGCCUGGUAGUGGGGGAUAACGUCCGGAAACGGGCGCUAAUACCGCAUACGUCCUGAGGGAGAAAGUGGGGGAUCUUCGGACCUCACGCUAUCAGAUGAGCCUAGGUCGGAUUAGCUAGUUGGUGGGGUAAAGGCCUACCAAGGCGACGAUCCGUAACUGGUCUGAGAGGAUGAUCAGUCACACUGGAACUGAGACACGGUCCAGACUCCUACGGGAGGCAGCAGUGGGGAAUAUUGGACAAUGGGCGAAAGCCUGAUCCAGCCAUGCCGCGUGUGUGAAGAAGGUCUUCGGAUUGUAAAGCACUUUAAGUUGGGAGGAAGGGCAGUAAGUUAAUACCUUGCUGUUUUGACGUUACCAACAGAAUAAGCACCGGCUAACUUCGUG